AUUGCUUCUUGGCCUUUUGGCUAAGAUCAAGUGUAGCAGCUGGUCUUAUCAGUUUUAUAUCUGAUACGUCCUCUAUUCGAGGACAUUAUAUUAAAAUGGAUUUUUGGAGCAGGGAGUCGGGAAUAAGGGGCUUACUCCAUCUGCUCCACGGAAAAAAA
RNAcentral lists this small nuclear RNA (158 nucleotides) under Erinaceus europaeus (western European hedgehog). RNAcentral describes it as "U2 spliceosomal RNA (ENSEEUG00000020655.1)". It matches the Rfam family "U2 spliceosomal RNA". Rfam says of the family: U2 is a small nuclear RNA (snRNA) component of the spliceosome (involved in pre-mRNA splicing). Complementary binding between U2 snRNA (in an area lying towards the 5' end but 3' to hairpin I) and the branchpoint sequence (BPS) of the intron results the bulging out of an unpaired adenosine, on the BPS, which initiates a nucleophilic attack at the intronic 5' splice site, thus starting the first of two transesterification reactions that mediate splicing. The record is from RNAcentral. Lineage: Eukaryota; Metazoa; Chordata; Mammalia; Eulipotyphla; Erinaceidae.